Molecule: RNA transcript, 562 nt
Organism: Mus pahari (shrew mouse)
Lineage: Eukaryota; Metazoa; Chordata; Mammalia; Rodentia; Muridae
Gene name: nascent polypeptide-associated complex subunit alpha pseudogene
Exons: 2
Source: RefSeq, a predicted model, not a curated record
AUGUGGAGUGAGGGAACACAAAGGAUAUAUUAUGAGAAACUAGGGAUCAAGAGGGUAGUGGGGGUUACGAGAGUCACUAUCCGAAAAUCUAAAAAUAUCCUCUUUGCCAUCACAAAACCAGAUGUCUACAAGAGCCCAGUUUCAGACAUCUACAUAGUGUUUGGGGAAGCAAAGAUUGCAGAUUUGUCUCAGCAAGCGCAGUUAGUAGCUGCUGAGAAAUUCAAAGUUCAAGGUGAAGCUGUUUCAAACAUUCAAGAAAACACUCAGACUCCAACCGUCCAAGAGGAGAGUGAAGAGGAGGUUGAUGAAACAGGUGUGGAAAUUAAGGACAUAGAAUUAGUCAUGUCACAAGCAAAUGUAUCAAGAGCAAAGGCUGUUCGAGCCCUGAAAAACAACAGUAAUGAUAUUGUAGAUGCUAUUAUGGAAUUAACAAUGUAACUAUUUGACAGCAAAGACAACUCCUCCCCUUUCCCCCCUUUUUGGUGUUUGAAAAGUGGAACUACAGCUUGGUUUAAAAUUUGUACUGUUUCUAUCCCUAAUAAAGUUGUGGCUUCUUGUUGGA